UUGAUUUUUCAGUUCCAGCUAGAGUUAUUCUAGUCCAUUGAUUUUUUCUGUUGCACCCCUACGUGAAGUUCUUUUGUUGACGUUUGUGAAUUGAUGGUGGAAAUUCCCCAGCAUAUUACGUCAUCAUUGCACAUCAUGACGUCACUGACUUAUCCAUGCAGUUCAUUCCAGUUCAUUAAUUAUUAAACAUUGUUUGGUCAGGGUCUACUGUCAUGAAUGAGGUUUGUUUGUGAUCUCUGAAAGACCAGUACAACACAAAACUGUCUCAUGAGAUGAACAGUUCUGAACGCUAAAGAAAUUGAAAAUAAUUAGCUAGGAUUUAAACACAUUCUCAUACUUUAAUGUUUUUGCGUUUUGUUUCAAUUUCAUGGGCAAUAGCUUGAACCUACAACCUAAAUCUUUACAUUCUUUUUUUUUUUUUAAGAUUUAUUUUUGACAUUUUUGCCUUUUUUUAUUUGAUAGGAUAGUAGUUAGACAGGAAACGAAGUUGGAGAGAGAGGGGGGACGGGACAGGGAAAGGUCCUGGGACUCGAACACGGGACGCCCGAAGCACAACGGCGCUACAUGUAGACGCGCUGCCCACGAGGCUUUUGGCGCAGACUACGUUCAUUCCUGAUGCUAAAUUUUGGAGAAACUCCACCAUUGAAUCACAACACUGAAUCAACUUGAAUGUGUGGUGGAACCUCUUGAGCAAAAGAAAAGCACUAAAAUAACUCUACUAGAAUAUUUUAUGGAACCUCCACUAUACCUGUGAAAGGAAGAAAGGGAGGCGACGCCAUACUGACAUGUGAAUACAAGGCCAGAGAGAUUUCAGAUAUUCGUUUCAUUCGUCACAGAAAACGCAUCCACUUUGCUGUCAUCCCUGUUUGUCCGAAUGAAGAACAUAAACGUGCGCGUGCCCGAGUAUGUAAUAAAGAAGCAUGUGACGUCGUCAUCAAGGAUCUGAUCUUCAGUGACGCUGGGAAAUACAUUUUUAGAUUCGAUUACAAAAAUGCUCCGACAGAGCUGGAGUACCAACUUUAUAUUUAUGAUGAGUUUUCUGUGAAAAUCAGUGAGAAGCUGAAGUUAGAUGUUCUGUUGUCUAAUGCUGAUAAAGUGCAGCAUCACAGCAGAAGAAGCACAGAGUGGAAGGAUGUCUGGAAGAGAGGCCAUGGUGUUCAAAAUGACCAGCUGAAUGACAGAGAUGGAAACCUGAUCAUCAAUAACUUUACAGCCAGUGAUGCAGGAAUUUACAGAGUUUUGGACUCUGAAGGAGAACUCUUGAUCACAGUGACUGUUGAAGAAUCUCCGGAAUCUCCAGAAACUCCAGGAUCAACGAACAGACCCAAGAGUGACGCUACACAAAACAAUCACUGGAUUGGACCAGCCAGGCAGCCUGUGUGUUUUUGGGUGGUUCUUUGGUGGCUCUGCCUCUUUUAAAAGAACAAGGAUACACCAAUGUCUAGAUGGAGGUCUGAGUAGGUACUACGUUUGAUGAAGAACUAUCGUCAUGACUGUUAAACAGUAUGUUCUAUAUGGCAUGAAUUUAAUCUAGAUGUGCUACAGCUGCCAUAUUGUCAUGUGAGCUAUGAUCCCGAAAGUAGUAGGUCAUCCAGGUACUUUUUGUCUGCUGUUUUAUGAGUACUACGCCCUAUCUGGACAGUAAUUAUUUCUCAUGGGGACGUAAUCCAAAAAUGUUCAGUUUACAGGGGUUAGACAGUGAUUUUAUUGCCGUCCGAAUCUAGAAUGUCAGUGUUUUUCUCCCACCACUUGUAUAACGAUUCCCUGACCAAAUAACCUGCUGUUUUUUUUUAACAAACAUAAAGGUCAUGUGGUAAUUUCACUGCCGUCCAAAUCCACAUCUCUGAGUUUACAAGAAGGGAUCAAUUCAAAAAUCACUGUAUAAAUUAUUUUUGACCACUGCUGAACACCGUACGGGAACUGUUGCGCUUCGCUGUGAUUUGCAUGCAUUUUAAAGAUGUACAUUUUUAUUACUGAAAUGCUGGAAAGUAUUUACAAACAAUAUUCAGUGCUCAGUGAGUUCACUUUGCUCAGGUGCACCAGUGCUCCUCCACAGCGAGUGGGAGCUGUUUACAAAUAAACAUUUCUGGCAUAUUUAUUUAUUUAUUUAUUUAAAUGGAUUAAUAGUGUGCUU
Sinocyclocheilus rhinocerous is the source of this 2134-nucleotide long non-coding RNA. RefSeq lists it as uncharacterized. The transcript is spliced from 5 exons. NCBI's taxonomy places the organism in Eukaryota, Metazoa, Chordata, Actinopteri, Cypriniformes, Cyprinidae. The record is from RefSeq and is a predicted model, not a curated record.